This is a non-coding RNA of Arabidopsis thaliana (thale cress), 135 nucleotides long. RefSeq annotates it as microRNA ath-MIR1888b precursor. NCBI's taxonomy places the organism in Eukaryota, Viridiplantae, Streptophyta, Magnoliopsida, Brassicales, Brassicaceae. The transcript has a single exon. The record is from RefSeq.
UAUUGGUGGUAUCUUACCCAAAUUCUUAGGCUAAGAUUUGUGAAGAAAAGGCUCUUAUAUAAGAGCUUUUACUCUUAUAUUUAAGUUUUUUCUUCCCAAAUCUUAGAUUAAGAUUUGGCUAAGAUACCACUAAUA